Molecule: ribosomal RNA, 497 nt
Filed under: uncultured bacterium
Lineage: Bacteria
Description: partial 16S ribosomal RNA
Rfam family: Bacterial small subunit ribosomal RNA
Source: RNAcentral
GACGAACGCUGGCGGCGUGCCUAAUACAUGCAAGUUGAGCGCUGAAGGUUGGUACUUGUACCAACUGGAUGAGCAGCGAACGGGUGAGUAACGCGUGGGGAAUCUGCCUUUGAGCGGGGGACAACAUUUGGAAACGAAUGCUAAUACCGCAUAAAAACUUUAAACACAAGUUUUAAGUUUGAAAGAUGCAAUUGCAUCACUCAAAGAUGAUCCCGCGUUGUAUUAGCUAGUUGGUGAGGUAAGGGCUCACCAAGGCGAUGAUACAUAGCCGACCUGAGAGGGUGAUCGGCCACAUUGGGACUGAGACACGGCCCAAACUCCUACGGGAGGCAGCAGUAGGGAAGCUUCGGCAAUGGACGAAAGUCUGACCGAGCAACGCCGCGUGAGUGAAGAAGGUUUUCGGAUCGUAAAACUCUGUUGGUAGAGAAGAACGUUGGUGAGAGUGGAAAGCUCAUCAAGUGACGGUAACUACCCAGAAAGGGACGGCUAACUACGUG